Athene cunicularia (burrowing owl) is the source of this 1260-nucleotide long non-coding RNA. RefSeq lists it as uncharacterized. NCBI's taxonomy places the organism in Eukaryota, Metazoa, Chordata, Aves, Strigiformes, Strigidae. The record is from RefSeq and is a predicted model, not a curated record. The transcript is spliced from 3 exons.
UCCUCGGAGCCUGCCCCGCGCUCCCGCCUCCGGCUUCCAUCCACGCACGGGAGCUGCUGCGCUGGAAAACCAAGCACCUACCAUUGAACUGGGCGAAGGGACAGCUCGGGGCUGAGGCACAGGGCGUGUGGGUGAGAGAGAGCAAUAAAAGACACGUAGAUGGGAGGAAAUGGUGCUGGGUCUGGUCAGCAGAGUGCAUUUGCCCUUCUAAAUCCAGGCUGGAGUGUGGGCUUGUAAUACAUAACCUUUGUUACUUAGAUGGGUCCGAGAGCUGCCUGUGAUGAGACGAGACCCAGCGGUAGGUCAGCUUUGAGCAGGUUGUGACAGCUAAAGAGCCCGGCUAAAGCCGUGGGUUCAAAUUACAAAACUGCUCGUUCCGAAAACAGGAGAGAGCAGAGGGGGAAAGAACGAGUAGCAAAACCAUUGAGAUAUUUUCACAGCAGCUUUUCUCAUUAUUGUUCUUGUCCUCUGCAUCUAAUCACUCCAAACAAGUCUAUUUACAGUCUUUUCUUUAGUUUCCUGUUGGGCCCUUUCCAACCAUCAUCCACCUUUCCAUUCCACUGAACAGGGUGUUGCAGCUACAACACACACGGACUGGCGGGUGCUCCCUGUACCUUGGCACAUGCACCAUGGGUGACAUCAACAGCCUGCGUGGUUCUCACACCUGUCCUGCAGUGCCUCGCACAGCGUGCCCUCCUCUCCUGCCCUGCAUGACAGGCUUUCUGACUUGCUGCCUUGGGUGACCAUUCACAAGGCUAUUACUUGCUUCAGUCAGCUGAGAGCACACACUGGGUUUGACUGAAAGUGCUUCUAUUCAGAAAAUCCCAGCUGGGGACAGGAGGAUGGCCAGUUCGUUUCCAGGGUAGGAAAGAAACUCAAACACUUCCUACUAGUACAGCUUGAAGGAUGAACAUACUGGAUACUGAACAUAAAAGCUGAGUACAGAGCUGCUGGAAACUCCUUUUGCCUGAGCCCACAGCAUCCAAAGCCCAGGAGCUCAUCCAAGUGCCAGGCUGUGAGCUGUGAACUAGAUUGGCUCAUCCUUCAGUGCUGUGUAACUCCCUGCUCUUCUCUCCCCAUGGCCUUACUCUGCUGCCCAGAUGCUACACUGACACCUAGAAGGGCGUUUUGAGGAGUCAUGAGCAAGUCCACACAGGCAAGACACAGACGGAGGUGGCAUGGGCUCAGAUGGCUCCGAUGGCUUGGGCUGGGAACCUCAGCCUCGACUGUAAAUGUCAGCACCUUAUCCAGGCUGAUUUA